GAUGAACGCUGGCGGCGUGCCUAAUACAUGCAAGUCGAGCGAACAGACGAGGAGCUUGCUCCUUUGACGUUAGCGGCGGACGGGUGAGUAACACGUGGGUAACCUACCUAUAAGACUGGGAUAACUUCGGGAAACCGGAGCUAAUACCGGAUAAUAUUUUGAACCGCAUGGUUCGAUAGUGAAAGAUGGCUCUGCUAUCACUUAUAGAUGGACCUGCGCCGUAUUAGCUAGUUGGUAAGGUAACGGCUUACCAAGGCAACGAUACGUAGCCGACCUGAGAGGGUGAUCGGCCACACUGGAACUGAGACACGGUCCAGACUCCUACGGGAGGCAGCAGUAGGGAAUCUUCCGCAAUGGGCGAAAGCCUGACGGAGCAACGCCGCGUGAGUGAUGAAGGUCUUCGGAUCGUAAAACUCUGUUAUUAGGGAAGAACAAACGUGUAAGUAACUGUGCACGUCUUGACGGUACCUAAUCAGAAAGCCACGGCUAACUACGUG
RNAcentral lists this ribosomal RNA (497 nucleotides) under uncultured bacterium. RNAcentral's name for it is "partial 16S ribosomal RNA". It matches the Rfam family "Bacterial small subunit ribosomal RNA", at positions 28 to 507 of the family's 1533-position model. The record is from RNAcentral.